CUAAUUGAUCCUGCCAGUAGUAUAUGCUUAUCUCAGAUUAAUGCGUGCUGGUGUAAGUACAUGCAACUGCCUCAGUGAAGCUGUGAAUGGCUCAUUAAAUCAGUUAUGGUUCCUUUGAUCACUCCUUGGUUAUUUGGAUAACAAUUCUGGACUUAACAUGCAUAUAAGGACUGAACUGCGGGUGUCGAUGACCCAAAACCCGUGUGAGGAGUCCCUCCAGGGACAUCUUAUUUGAAUGUCUGCCCCAUUAGCUUUUGAAGUAACUUUGCGUGUGUACAAUGGUGAUUGUGGGUAACUGGGAUUUAGGGUUUGAUUCUGGAGAAGGAGCCUGAGGAAUGGCUACCACAUCCAAGGAAGGCAGCCACUCCUGCCCACUCCUGACCUCGGGGAACAGUGGAGAAAAAUACUGACACAGGACUUUUUCAAGGCCCUGUAAUUAGAAUUAAAUGACUAUAUGAAACUGUUUAAAUUACAUUACAAAAUCACUUCCACU
RNAcentral lists this non-coding RNA (493 nucleotides) under Oreochromis niloticus (Nile tilapia). Its description in RNAcentral is "Eukaryotic small subunit ribosomal RNA". It matches the Rfam family "Eukaryotic small subunit ribosomal RNA", at positions 4 to 588 of the family's 1831-position model. The record is from Rfam by way of RNAcentral. Lineage: Eukaryota; Metazoa; Chordata; Actinopteri; Cichliformes; Cichlidae.